RNAcentral lists this ribosomal RNA (422 nucleotides) under Verrucomicrobiota bacterium. RNAcentral describes it as "Verrucomicrobia bacterium partial 16S ribosomal RNA". It matches the Rfam family "Bacterial small subunit ribosomal RNA", at positions 355 to 776 of the family's 1533-position model. The record is from RNAcentral. Lineage: Bacteria; Pseudomonadati; Verrucomicrobiota.
UGGGGAAUUUUGCACAAUGGGCGCAAGCCUGAUGCAGCGACGCCGCGUGAGGGAUGAAGGCCUUCGGGUUGUAAACCUUUUUCGCUCAUGGUCAAGCCGCAGCUUUGGGUUGUGGUGAGGGUAGUGGGUAAAGAAGCGCCGGCUAACUACGUGCCAGCAGCCGCGGUAAUACGUAGGGCGCGAGCGUUGUCCGGAAUUAUUGGGCGUAAAGGGCUUGUAGGCGGUUGGCCGCGUCUGCCGUGAAAUCCUCUGGCUUAACUGGGGGCGUGCGGUGGGUACGGGUUGACUUGAGUGCGGUAGGGGAGACUGGAAUUCCUGGUGUAGCGGUGGAAUGCGCAGAUAUCAGGAGGAACACCGGUGGCGAAGGCGGCUAUCUGGACAGUAACUGACGCUGAGGCGCGAAAGCGUGGGUAGCAAACAGG